Molecule: ribosomal RNA, 253 nt
Filed under: uncultured bacterium
Lineage: Bacteria
Description: partial 16S ribosomal RNA
Rfam family: Bacterial small subunit ribosomal RNA
Source: RNAcentral
UACGUAGGGUGCGAGCGUUGUCCGGAAUCACUGGGCGUAAAGGGCGCGUAGGCGGCGCGGGAAGUCCGUGGUGAAAGCCCGAGGCUCAACUUCGGGUCGGCCAUGGAUACUCCUGGGCUUGAGCACUGUAGAGGCAGGUGGAAUUCCGGGUGUAGCGGUGGAAUGCGUAGAGAUCCGGAAGAACACCGGUGGCGAAGGCGGCCUGCUGGGCAGUAGCUGACGCUGAGGCGCGACAGCGUGGGGAGCAAACAGG